This 465-nucleotide ribosomal RNA is filed under the name uncultured Klebsiella sp. RNAcentral's name for it is "bacterial SSU rRNA". It matches the Rfam family "Bacterial small subunit ribosomal RNA", at positions 338 to 795 of the family's 1533-position model. The record is from RNAcentral. Lineage: Bacteria; Pseudomonadati; Pseudomonadota; Gammaproteobacteria; Enterobacterales; Enterobacteriaceae.
CCUACGGGGGGCAGCAGUGGGGAAUAUUGCACAAUGGGCGCAAGCCCGAUGCAGCCAUGCCGCGUGUGUGAAGAAGGCCUUCGGGUUGUAAAGCACUUUCAGCGGGGAGGAAGGCGUUAAGGUUAAUAACCUUGUCGAUUGACGUUACCCGCAGAAGAAGCACCGGCUAACUCCGUGCCAGCAGCCGCGGUAAUACGGAGGGUGCAAGCGUUAAUCGGAAUUACUGGGCGUAAAGCGCACGCAGGCGGUCUGUCAAGUCGGAUGUGAAAUCCCCGGGCUCAGCCUGGGAACUGCAUUCGAAACUGGCAGGCUAGAGUCUUGUAGAGGGGGGUAGAAUUCCAGGUGUAGCGGUGAAAUGCGUAGAGAUCUGGAGGAAUACCGGUGGCGAAGGCGGCCCCCUGGACAAAGACUGACGCUCAGGUGCGAAAGCGUGGGGAGCAAACAGGAUUAGAUACCCCAGUAGUC